Non-coding RNA from Pelobates cultripes (western spadefoot toad), 250 nucleotides. The record is from the annotation of a GenBank genome assembly. Lineage: Eukaryota; Metazoa; Chordata; Amphibia; Anura; Pelobatidae.
AUUUGUGAGGGUGCUGUUUGUGUGUGUGUGUGUGUGUUUGUGAGGGUGCUGUUAGUGUGCUGUGUGUGAGGGUGUUGCGUUUUUUUUAAAGGUGCUGUGUGUGUUUAUGAGGGUGCGGUUAGUGUACUGUGUGUGUGAGCUGUAUGUGUGUAGGUGCUGUAUGUGUGUGCUGUAUGUUUGGAGGGAUUUGGCAGAUUAGUAAAUCCUUGCUGCCAUGUGCCAUCCCUGGUGGUCCAGUGGAGAGUGAACU